AUUGAACGCUGGCGGCAGGCCUAACACAUGCAAGUCGAACGAGUGGCGGACGGGUGAGUAAUGUCUGGGAAACUGCCUGAUGGAGGGGGCUAACUACUGGAAACGGUAGCUAAUACCGCAUACCAUCGGAUGUGCCCAGAUGGGAUUAGCUAGUAGGUGGGGUAAAGGCUCACCUAGGCGACGAUCCCUAGCUGGUCUGAGAGGAUGACCGGCCACACUGGGACGGAGACACGGGCCAGACGCCGACGGGAGGCAGCAGUGGGGAAUAUUGCACAAUGGGCGAAAGCCUGAUGCAGCCAUGCCGCGUGUAUGAAGAAGGUCUUCGGGUUGUAAAGUACUUUCAGCGGGGAGGCGUUACCCGCAGAAGAAGCACCGGCUAACUCCGUGCCAGCAGCCGCGGUAAUUC
Molecule: ribosomal RNA, 406 nt
Filed under: uncultured bacterium
Lineage: Bacteria
Description: partial 16S ribosomal RNA
Rfam family: Bacterial small subunit ribosomal RNA
Source: RNAcentral